This 716-nucleotide ribosomal RNA is filed under the name uncultured bacterium. RNAcentral describes it as "bacterial SSU rRNA". It matches the Rfam family "Bacterial small subunit ribosomal RNA", at positions 800 to 1515 of the family's 1533-position model. The record is from RNAcentral.
CCGUAAACGAUGAGUGCUAAGUGUUGGAGGGUUUCCGCCCUUCAGUGCUGCAGCAAACGCAUUAAGCACUCCGCCUGGGGAGUACGACCGCAAGGUUGAAACUCAAAGGAAUUGACGGGGGCCCGCACAAGCGGUGGAGCAUGUGGUUUAAUUCGAAGCAACGCGAAGAACCUUACCAGGUCUUGACAUCCUUUGAACACUCUAGAGAUAGAGCUUUCCCUUCGGGGACAAAGUGACAGGUGGUGCAUGGUUGUCGUCAGCUCGUGUCGUGAGAUGUUGGGUUAAGUCCCGCAACGAGCGCAACCCUUAUUGUUAGUUGCCAUCAUUCAGUUGGGCACUCUAGCGAGACUGCCGGUGACAAACCGGAGGAAGGUGGGGAUGACGUCAAAUCAUCAUGCCCCUUAUGACCUGGGCUACACACGUGCUACAAUGGGAAGUACAACGAGUCGCUAGACCGCGAGGUCAUGCAAAUCUCUUAAAGCUUCUCUCAGUUCGGAUUGCAGGCUGCAACUCGCCUGCAUGAAGCCGGAAUCGCUAGUAAUCGCGGAUCAGCACGCCGCGGUGAAUACGUUCCCGGGCCUUGUACACACCGCCCGUCACACCACGAGAGUUUGUAACACCCGAAGUCGGUGAGGUAACCUUUUUGGAGCCAGCCGCCUAAGGUGGGAUAGAUGAUUGGGGUGAAGUCGUAACAAGGUAGCCGUAUCGGAAGGUGC